AGUCAAGUAAUUAAGUGCAUGUGGUGGAUGCCUUGGCAGUCAGAGGCGAUGAAAGACGUGAUAGCCUGCGAAAAGCUCCGGGAGGCGGCAAAUAUCCUUUGAUCCGGAGAUGUCUGAAUGGGGGAACCCACCUACUUUAAGGUAGGUAUUGCAACAUGAAUACAUAGUGUUGCAAGGCGAACGAGGGGAAGUGAAACAUCUCAGUACCCUUAGGAAAAGAAAUCAAUUGAGAUUCCCUCAGUAGCGGCGAGCGAACGGGGAUCAGCCCAUUAAGUUAUGUGUGUUUUAGUGGAACGCUCUGGGAAGUGCGAACGUAGAGGGUGAUAUUCCCGUACACGAAAGGGCACACAUAAUGAUGACGAGUAGGGCGAGGCACGUGAAACCUUGUCUGAAUAUGGGGGGACCAUCCUCCAAGGCUAAAUACUCCUGACUGACCGAUAGUGAACCAGUACCGUGAGGGAAAGGCGAAAAGAACCCCUGUGAGGGGAGUGAAAUAGAUCCUGAAACCGCAUGCAUACAAGCAGUGGGAGCACCUUCGUGGUGUGACUGCGUACCUUUUGUAUAAUGGGUCAGCGACUUAUAUUCAGUAGCGAGGUUAACCGUAUAGGGGAGCCGUAGAGAAAUCGAGUCUUAAUAGGGCGUUUAGUUGCUGGGUAUAGACCCGAAACCAGGCGAUCUAUCCAUGAGCAGGUUGAAGGUUGGGUAACACUAACUGGAGGACCGAACCCACUGUCGUUGAAAAGCCAGGGGAUGACUUGUGGAUAGGGGUGAAAGGCUAAUCAAGCCUGGUGAUAGCUGGUUCUCCCCGAAAGCUAUUUAGGUAGCGCCUCGGACGAAUACCAUAGGGGGUAGAGCACUGUUUCGGCUAGGGGGUCAUCCCGACUUACCAAACCGAUGCAAACUCCGAAUACCUAUGAGUACUAUCCGGGAGACAGACUGCGGGUGCUAACGUCCGUAGUCAAGAGGAAAACAAUCCAGACCGCCAGCUAAGGCCCCAAAAUCAUAGUUAAGUGGGAAACGAUGUGGGAAGGCAUAGACAGCUAGGAGGUUGGCUUAGAAGCAGCCACCCUUUAAAGAAAGCGUAAUAGCUCACUAGUCGAGUCGGCCUGCGCGGAAGAUGUAACGGGGCUAAAACUAUGUGCCGAAGCUGCGGAUGUAUACUUUGUAUACGUGGUAGGGGAGCGUUCUGUAAGCCGAUGAAGGUGUGUUGAGAAGCAUGCUGGAGGUAUCAGAAGUGCGAAUGCUGACGUGAGUAACGACAAAACGGGUGAAAAACCCGUUCGCCGAAAGACCAAGGGUUCCAGUCCAACGUUAAUCGGGGCUGGGUGAGUCGACCCCUAAGGCGAGGCCGAAAGGCGUAGUCGAUGGGAAAAUGGUUAAUAUUCCAUUACUUCUGUGUAAUGCGAUGAGAGGACGGAGAAGGCUAAAUCAGCCUGGCGUUGGUUGUCCAGGUGAAAGGAUGUAGGCAUGUAUCUUAGGCAAAUCCGGGGUACUCUAUGCUGAGAUCUGAUAGCAAGCUGUACUUGUACAGCGAAGUGGUUGAUGCCAUGCUUCCAGGAAAAGUCUCUAAGCUUCAGUUACACAGGAAUCGUACCCGAAACCGACACAGGUGGUCAGGUCGAGUAGACCAAGGCGCUUGAGAGAACUCUGCUGAAGGAACUAGGCAAAAUGGUACCGUAACUUCGGGAGAAGGUACGCUGUUGUUGGUGAUGGAACUCGCUUCCUGAGCUGACGACAGCCGCAGAAACCAGGCCGCUGCAACUGUUUAUUAAAAACAUAGCACUCUGCAAACACGAAAGUGGACGUAUAGGGUGUGAUGCCUGCCCGGUGCUGGAAGGUUAAUUGAUGGGGUUAGCGUAAGCGAAGCUCUUGAUCGAAGCCCCAGUAAACGGCGGCCGUAACUAUAACGGUCCUAAGGUAGCGAAAUUCCUUGUCGGGUAAGUUCCGACCUGCACGAAUGGCAUAAUGAUGGCGGCGCUGUCUCCAGCAGAGGCUCAGUGAAAUCGAAAUCGCUGUGAAGAUGCAGUGUACCCGCGGCUAGACGGAAAGACCCCGUGAACCUUUACUGCAGCUUGACACUGAACUUUGACCUUACUUGUGUAGGAUAGGUGGGAGGCUUUGAAGCUGGAACGCUAGUUCCAGUGGAGCCGUCCUUGAAAUACCACCCUGGUAAUGUUGAGGUUCUAACUCUGUCCCGUGAUCCGGGACGAGGACCGUGUCUGGUGGGUAGUUUGACUGGGGCGGUCUCCUCCUAAAGAGUAACGGAGGAGUACGAAGGUGCGCUCAGCGUGGUCGGAAAUCACGCGUAGAGUAUAAAGGCAAAAGCGCGCUUAACUGCGAGACCCACAAGUCGAGCAGGUACGAAAGUAGGUCUUAGUGAUCCGGUGGUUCUGUAUGGAAGGGCCAUCGCUCAACGGAUAAAAGGUACUCUGGGGAUAACAGGCUGAUACCGCCCAAGAGUUCAUAUCGACGGCGGUGUUUGGCACCUCGAUGUCGGCUCAUCUCAUCCUGGGGCUGAAGCAGGUCCCAAGGGUAUGGCUGUUCGCCAUUUAAAGAGGUACGCGAGCUGGGUUUAGAACGUCGUGAGACAGUUCGGUCCCUAUCUACCGUGGGCGCUGGAAAUUUGAGAGGAUCUGCUCCUAGUACGAGAGGACCAGAGUGGACGAACCUCUGGUGUACCGGUUGUGACGCCAGUCGCAUCGCCGGGUAGCUAUGUUCGGAAGGGAUAACCGCUGAAAGCAUCUAAGCGGGAAGCCUACCUCAAGAUAAGAUUUCCCUAGGACUUUAUGUCCUCUAAAGAGCCGUUCGAGACUAGGACGUUGAUAGGUUGGAUGUGGAAGCAUAGUGAUAUGUGAAGCUGACCAAUACUAAUUGCUCGUGAGGCUUGACUAU
This 2892-nucleotide ribosomal RNA is filed under the name Acinetobacter baumannii. RNAcentral describes it as "23S ribosomal RNA". It matches the Rfam family "Bacterial large subunit ribosomal RNA". The record is from RNAcentral. Lineage: Bacteria; Pseudomonadati; Pseudomonadota; Gammaproteobacteria; Moraxellales; Moraxellaceae.